This 175-nucleotide non-coding RNA is filed under the name Clostridium polynesiense. Its description in RNAcentral is "Lysine riboswitch". It matches the Rfam family "Lysine riboswitch aptamer". From Rfam's summary of the family: Riboswitches are metabolite binding domains within certain messenger RNAs that serve as precision sensors for their corresponding targets. Allosteric rearrangement of mRNA structure is mediated by ligand binding, and this results in modulation of gene expression. The record is from RNAcentral. Lineage: Bacteria; Bacillati; Bacillota; Clostridia; Eubacteriales; Clostridiaceae.
UGAGGUAGAGGUGCGGAUUUUAUAAGUAUCUUCGCAGAGGUAAGCACAAUGAAGCGGAGAAAAAGGGAAAUUUCGUCGGAGUGUCACAGUAAAUGCUUUCUUACUAUGAUGCUGGUUCUGUACAGAAUAUGUAUAGUAACUGUCACAAAUAUAUACAUUUGUGGAGAGCUAUCCU